RNAcentral lists this non-coding RNA (24 nucleotides) under Drosophila melanogaster (fruit fly). Lineage: Eukaryota; Metazoa; Arthropoda; Insecta; Diptera; Drosophilidae. RNAcentral also lists the same sequence under 5 other names. The record is from RNAcentral.
UGGCGCAGCGGAAGCGUGCUGGGC